ACGGCAGCACGGGAGCAAUCCUGGUGGCGAGUGGCGAACGGGUGAGUAAUGUAUCGGAACGUACCUUUCAGUGGGGGAUAACGUAGCGAAAGUUACGCUAAUACCGCAUAUUCUGUGAGCAGGAAAGCAGGGGAUCGCAAGACCUUGCGCUGAUUGAGCGGCCAAUAUCAGAUUAGCUAGUUGGUGAGGUAAAGGCUCACCAAGGCGACGAUCUGUAGCGGGUCUGAGAGGAUGAUCCGCCACACUGGAACUGAGACACGGUCCAGACUCCUACGGGAGGCAGCAGUGGGGAAUUUUGGACAAUGGGGGCAACCCUGAUCCAGCCAUGCCGCGUGAGUGAAGAAGGCCUUCGGGUUGUAAAGCUCUUUCAGCCGGGAAGAAAUCACAUGGGUUAAUACCCUGUGUGGAUGACGGUACCGGAAUAAGAAGCACCGGCUAACUAUGUGCCAGCAGCCGCGGUAAUACGUAGGGUGCGAGCGUUAAUCGGAAUUACUGGGCGUAAAGCGUGCGCAGGCGGUUUGUUAAGAUAGGCGUGAAAUCCCCGGGCUCAACCUGGGAACUGCGUUUAUGACUGGCAGGCUAGAGUAUGGCAGAGGGGGGUGGAAUUCCACGUGUAGCAGUGAAAUGCGUAGAGAUGUGGAGGAACACCGAUGGCGAAGGCAGCCCCCUGGGCCAAUACUGACGCUCAUGCACGAAAGCGUGGGUAGCAAACAGGAUUAGAUACCCUGGUAGUCCACGCCCUAAACGAUGUCAACUAGGUGUUGGGUGGGUAAAACCAUUUAGUACCGGAGCUAACGCGUGAAGUUGACCGCCUGGGGAGUAC
Molecule: ribosomal RNA, 823 nt
Filed under: uncultured bacterium
Lineage: Bacteria
Description: bacterial SSU rRNA
Rfam family: Bacterial small subunit ribosomal RNA
Source: RNAcentral